AACGAACGCUGGCGGCAGGCUUAACAUAUGCAAGUCGAGCGCAUCCUUCGGGGUGAGCGGCAGACGGGUGAGUAACGCGUGGGAAUCUACCUUUUGCUACGGAAUAGCUCCGGGAAACUGGAAUUAAUACCGUAUGUGCCCUUAGGGGGAAAGAUUUAUCGGCAAGAGAUGAGCCCGCGUUGGAUUAGCUAGUUGGUGGGGUAAAGGCCUACCAAGGCGACGAUCCAUAGCUGGUCUGAGAGGAUGAUCAGCCACAUUGGGACUGAGACACGGCCCAAACUCCUACGGGAGGCAGCAGUGGGGAAUAUUGGACAAUGGGCGCAAGCCUGAUCCAGCCAUGCCGCGUGAGUGAUGAAGGCCUUAGGGUUGUAAAGCUCUUUCACCGGAGAAGAUAAUGACGGUAGCCGGAGAAGAAGCCCCGGCUAACUUCGUG
RNAcentral lists this ribosomal RNA (433 nucleotides) under uncultured bacterium. RNAcentral's name for it is "partial 16S ribosomal RNA". It matches the Rfam family "Bacterial small subunit ribosomal RNA", at positions 29 to 507 of the family's 1533-position model. The record is from RNAcentral.